This 264-nucleotide long non-coding RNA is filed under the name Brassica napus (rape). RNAcentral's name for it is "long non-coding RNA (BNAP_LNC004780)". The record is from RNAcentral. Lineage: Eukaryota; Viridiplantae; Streptophyta; Magnoliopsida; Brassicales; Brassicaceae.
AGAGACAAGACGGUUAAGGUUGGUGUAGGUUGGCCUCUCAAUGUUCAGGGAACGCCUGCAAAUGUCAUAGAUGGCUUCAUUGUCGAGGAGGAUAGAGACAUCAGUGUGUUCCAAGAGCGAGUGAGUGGAGAGGACACUGUUGUAAGGCUCAACAACAGAGGUGGAGACCUGUGGAGAAGGGUAAACAGUGAAACCGAGCUUGGACUUUUUCCCAUAGUCGACAGAAAGCCUCUCAAGGAGAAGAGAUCCCAGCCCAGAUCCAGU